AUAACGGUCCUAAGGUAGCGAAAUUCCUUGUCAGGUAAGUUCUGACCCGCACGAAUGGCGUAACGAUUUGGGCACUGUCUCAACAGCCCGCCCGGCGAAAUUGUUGUACUGGUGAAGAAGCCAGUUACCCGCAACUAGACGGAAAGACCCCAUGGAGCUUUACUGCAGCUUAAUACUGAAGAUUGGUAAUGCAUGUACAGGAUAGGUGGGAGCCUGAGAAACAGGGGCGUCAGCUUCUGCGGAGGCAGCCUUGGAAUACCACCCUUGUAUUGCUGGUUUUCUAACCUGCGGCCGUGAAUCCGGUCGGGGGACACUGUUAGGCGGGCAGUUUGACUGGGGCGGUCGCCUCCAAAAGAGUAACGGAGGCGCUCAAAGGUUGGCUCAGCACGGACGGAAAUCGUGCAAAGAGUGCAAACGCAGAAGCCAACUUGACUGCGAGACCGACGGGUCGAGCAGGUACGAAAGUAGGAGUUAGUGAUCCGGUGGUAUGUGAGUGGAAAUGCCAUCGCUCAACGGAUAAAAGCUACCCUGGGGAUAACAGGCUGAUCUCCCCCAAGCGUCCACAGCGACGGGGAGGUUUGGCACCUCGAUGUCGGCUCGUCACAUCCUGGGGCUGAAUUAGGUCCCAAGGGUUCGGCUGUUCGCCGAUUAAAGUGGCACGCGAGCUGGGUUCAGAACGUCGUGAGACAGUUCGGUCCCUAUCUGUUGCGGGCGCAGGAGAUUUGAAGGGAGCUGUCCCUAGUACGAGAGGACCAGGAUGGACAGACCUCUGGUGCACCAGUUGUCGUGCCAACGGCACAGCUGGGUAGCUACGUCUGGACGAGAUAAACGCUGAAGGCAUCUAAGCGUGAAACUCCCCCUAAGAUAAGAUCUCCCAUCCGAAAGGAGUAAGGGACGACGUGGACUAUGUCGUUGAUAGGCCGGAGGUGUAAGCACGGUAACGUGUUCAGCUGACCGGUACUAAUAACCCGAGGGCUUGACCUA
This 984-nucleotide ribosomal RNA is filed under the name human gut metagenome. RNAcentral's name for it is "bacterial LSU rRNA". It matches the Rfam family "Bacterial large subunit ribosomal RNA", at positions 1942 to 2925 of the family's 2925-position model. The record is from RNAcentral.